RNAcentral lists this ribosomal RNA (326 nucleotides) under uncultured eukaryote. RNAcentral describes it as "partial 18S ribosomal RNA". It matches the Rfam family "Eukaryotic small subunit ribosomal RNA", at positions 1470 to 1796 of the family's 1831-position model. The record is from RNAcentral.
CCCUUAGAUGUUCUGGGCCGCACGCGCGCUACACUGACGAAGUCAGCGAGCAUGUCCUACGCCGACAGGUGCGGGGAAUCUUGUCAAACUUCGUCGUGAUGGGGAUUGAUUAUUGAAAUUCUUGAUCAUCAACGAGGAAUACCUUGUAAGCGCGGGUCAUCAUCCCGCGCUGAAUACGUCCCUGCCCUUUGUACACACCGCCCGUCGCUCCUACCGAUUGAGUGGUCCGGUGAGGCUUUGGGAUCUGAGCGGAAAGAGCGUUUCGCUGUUUCUGCUCGGAAAACUCAGUCGAACCUUAUCAUUUAGAGGAAGGAGAAGUCGUAACA